GACUGAUGCAGACAGCUCGGCCUUCAAAUCUACAACACAUGUAUGCUAUUGCUUGUGACAGAGUCAGAGAGGAAUGGAUUGGUGAGUGAAAAGAUGAGCACGAAGAUGGAUCAAAGUUGAUGCUCGUGGAGUAAAAUAAUCAAACACCUUGCUGUUCAUCUUAUAAUAAGAAUGUGGAUAAAGGUGGAGCAAUCUGGAGUUGACCGGCAGAUGAGUAUUCUGCUGCCUGGCAUCGCAUUAACGGGAGGUCAGUAUGCAAGAGACGGAAUGUUCUUUCGGAAUCGAGAUGUCUUUGAAGGAAGAGAUGGUUAUCAUCAGCAUUAGAUGCUCCAUCUGACGCCCACCUUCAAUGGCGUGGCUGCCCAUGUCGCCUGGCGGUAGGUUAGGAAGCAGCAGCAGUCAUAUAAUUUGAUGGUGCCCUCCUCAUCACUUUCCUAAUCGUCAUCAAACAAUUCAGCACCACUUGUCUCAGUCCUUUGGGGAAGCAGAUGAAGUGAAAGAGACAGACAUGCAUGUAGUCAUCUUUUUGACCAGUAAGUAGUGAUCCAUACACACACUAUUUUUGCCUAAAAAUACAAGGCGGCGGCUCGGCAGCAGAGUCGGUGGCGAUUCCGCAGACACACAUUUGAGGAAACGUCUCAGAGAAAAUCUCUGCAAAGAUGAGCAGCAGACUCGUCCACCACAGCAGCAGCAGGAAAAAGGAGGAGGGGUUAGCCCUUCGUCUCCAUCGUCGGCCUCCAAGUCCGUGAGGGGGACCAGCAGCCUCCAAUUGCAACAGCGGCCGUCGAGCGUCCUGCCUCCGGCUGUAAUGUGGGCGGUUGCCCCAAAUAACGGAGCUGGGCUCCGUUCUGGAUGCUCCCCGUCACGGCAGGAUCAGCGGGCUCAAGCACCACUACAGUUCAUGCCACAGCCAACGAGCGGCCUGGUGGCGCAGCAUCCUGGGCUGAGCACGUCGGAGACUAAUCGGCGGAUGCUCGCGGCAUUCAAUGCUUAUCGUAGAGGUGGUGGCCGGAGCAUGAAUUCUGAGCACCACCAGCCGAUGAAUCACCAUCACCAAGUCCAACCCCCUACCUGUCAUCAACAAGGUGCAGACAGCAGAGAAGACCACCAAACCAGCUCAGAAUGAAUCUGCAAGGACGACUACCGUGCACCAGAUGAUUGCAUUCUCUAAAUUCUUUCUUCUGUUUCCUUUCUGAAGUCGGAGGACCAAAAGAUUACAAUUCAUUGGAGGCAGCAAGUACUAACAAAUCCACUGCUAGAGCAAUUCAGAAGAGGUAUUGAAGUUCCUCAGUGGUUGCUGUGGUCAAGCAAGAAGAUAAACAACAAAGCAUGCAGAGAACUUUCAGCCUGUAAAAUCUCUCCCUCUUCCCUUUCCUCCUUCCAUCUUCCAUCUCUUAUUUCCUUCCUAGUGGCAACCAUGAGUGGCUGCUCAAGGAAAUUGCUGUAGUGCCUCCUCAUUCUCUAUCUUGUCCUUUAUGUACAGUUCAAAAGUCCUCAUCAUGUGACGCAGCUUUUCUAAUACCAACCACUAACUCAGGCUUAAGUUCCUUCUAAUUAACAUGAAAAGGUUUUUUUGCUCCAAAGGCAGAUUGUGGCAGUAGAAUCCAUGGAUGACACCUUCACGAAUGGAAAUGAAGAUGUGGCUGCUCUAGAUGGCAUCGGUCGCAGUUCCAUGACCAGUAUGCAAACCUUCACUAUCUGUUUGUACAUGUGCGACCAAGACCAGUACGCAAACCUUCACUAUCUGUUUGUAUAUGAUCAGUGAUUCUAAUGUAAAAUCCCAAUACUGACACAAAACUGAGGAUCUUGCCUAGAACAGAUGCAUGCUAUAGAGGCCAUGUCUGCAAUUAAUGCAAAGAUAAUAAGAACAAAGAAGGCGUAACAAUGGCACAGUUCAAGUAGCACUUCUUCAUAGUAGUGCUGGCUUGAAUUCUAAGUGAAAGAUUAGGAUGAAGAAGUAAAUUGUAGGACAAAAGCAGUCUGCCUGCAUAAGUUUUAUGCCACACUGAGGAAACAUGGGUUUGGUGAUGAAGAUCUUUCAACCCAAAAACCUUGGCUGGAAAUGAGGGUUGGGAAUGCACAUGCCUGUGCUGUGAUACACUCAUGCAUGAGGAGGCAGAGGUUGGUGGAGCUUUACAAUAUAAUUGAGACCCAUAUCAGUCGGAUUGGUUGGUGCGGUACCAAGUUUUUGGUUGAUUCCUCAUCUGGUAGGUUUCCACAAUGAAUGCCUUCUUUGUGUCUGGCCUAUGAUUGCAGCACUCGGUUUCAGAAAACAGAUGAAGUUGGUGGAUGCAUUCUACAUAGUCACAUGUAACUCAACCACAGAGAAUUGAACCCCUGGUGCAUCUGGUAACCUGUCAACACUUGCAUCAAACUGUGGCUGAUCCAAGGAACAAUGUUUUUGUACAUCAGCAGGAUCAUUUAUUUCCCAGUGUCAGCUUCUUGUCAUGGAUUGUUCUACCUUAUCAACCUCAUUAGCCUGCCUUCAAUAUAAGGUUGAGCUUGUGCAGGAGAAGCAAUCUGAAAGAUUCAUCAUGAGGGGCCUAAAUCAGAUGUGGCAGCAACCAUCAGCUUAAGUCCAAAUCUUUUUCAUGGAAAUCAAAAGCAAUCUCUUAUUUAUGCAUGCACCCACCUGGUGUACAGUAGUUGAGGAGAAAAUUUUGGUUGAGACCUUGUGUCAUCAGCUGGUCUUCCCACAACAAUUAUCUGCUGCUACAAUGACCAGUGCAGUGACAGUCAAGAUAUUCUAGUUGUCCUGGGAAUGUGGGUAUAUAAUCCAUAAGCAGUCAACAACACAAACCAACCACAGUGAUUAGGUGAGGUAGAACCAAAGCCCCAACAGUCCUCUCCUCUCUCUAGAAGCCCUCCAACCCCCAGCCUUCAUUGUGAUGAAUAAGGCAUGGUCCAUUUGGAUUGAGACCAUUGGGGAUGGUUCCAUCAACUGGCAUUCCUUUCCCAUCUUUCCUUGUUUCUUUCAGUCCUACAGAUUGAGAAGCUGGUGAAUAAGUCAAGAAAAGGUGGCUAAGCUCUGGAAGGAAGUAAAGAAACUUCUGGUGCCCUUCCCUUCCUCUCUUAAGCUUAUUAGGAAGGUCAUGAAUGAGCCACUUGGUUCAGAGUAAAAGCUGUCAUCUUUUGAAUCUUGUAGGGUCACAUGUGCCAACUUUUCUUGUUUCCUUGAAGCUGGAUCACAGUCCAAUUGAUGGAUGGAUAUCUACAGGGAGACUGGAAGAGUGUACUGGUGCAGAUGGGCAUUGAGUGAGUGCAAGUACACAACCUGCUGCUGGAGUCAAGACUCUGGAACAUCUCAACAUAUCUCUCAUUACUUCCCUAACCUGUUGAUUGUUCUUGUCACCCCAUCUUUCUUCUCUUCUAACUUUCUAAGAUGCUUGAUUGCCUGGCCAGUAUGCAACAGUGACUGGUAGGUGAAAAGUAUAAUAAUGACCAUGACAUUGUGUUUCUGCCCCUGCUUAUUUCUAGAGAGACAAAACAGACAUUGUUUCCAUGUGUGUACUGCAUGCAACAGUUGCAAUCUAUGAUGAAA
This is a long non-coding RNA of Musa acuminata AAA Group (dessert banana), 3541 nucleotides long. RefSeq lists it as uncharacterized. The transcript is spliced from 6 exons. The record is from RefSeq and is a predicted model, not a curated record. Lineage: Eukaryota; Viridiplantae; Streptophyta; Magnoliopsida; Zingiberales; Musaceae.